AACGAACGCUGGCGGCAGGCCUAACACAUGCAAGUCGAACGCCGUAGCAAUACGGAGUGGCAGACGGGUGAGUAACACGUGGGAACGUACCCUUCGGUUCGGGAUAACUCAGGGAAACUUGAGCUAAUACCGGAUACGUCCGAGAGGAGAAAGACUUAUUGCCGAGGGAUCGGCCCGCGUCUGAUUAGCUUGUUGGUGAGGUAACGGCUCACCAAGGCGACGAUCAGUAGCUGGUCGAGAGGAUGAUCAGCCACAUUGGGACUGAGACACGGCCCAAACUCCUACGGGAGGCAGCAGUGGGGAAUAUUGGACAAUGGGCGCAAGCCUGAUCCAGCCAUGCCGCGUGAGUGAUGAA
This 355-nucleotide ribosomal RNA is filed under the name uncultured bacterium. RNAcentral describes it as "bacterial SSU rRNA". It matches the Rfam family "Bacterial small subunit ribosomal RNA", at positions 29 to 412 of the family's 1533-position model. The record is from RNAcentral.